AAGAUGACUCUCGGCAACAGAUAUCUCGGCUCAUGCACCGCUGAAGAAUAUAGCGAAAUGCGAUACUUCGUGUGAAUUGCAGAAUCUAGUGAACCAUUGAGUCUUUGAACGCUAGGUUGCGCCCGAAGCCAUUAGGAUAAAGGCACGCCUACUUGGGUGUCACAC
RNAcentral lists this ribosomal RNA (165 nucleotides) under Sphaerolobium nudiflorum. RNAcentral's name for it is "5.8S ribosomal RNA". It matches the Rfam family "5.8S ribosomal RNA". Rfam says of the family: 5.8S ribosomal RNA (5.8S rRNA) is a component of the large subunit of the eukaryotic ribosome. Lineage: Eukaryota; Viridiplantae; Streptophyta; Magnoliopsida; Fabales; Fabaceae. The record is from RNAcentral.